GAUGAACGCUAGCUACAGGCUUAACACAUGCAAGUCGCAGGGUAACAUGAGGAAAGCUUGCUUUCCUUGAUGACGACUGGCGCACGGGUGAGUAACGCGUAUCCAACCUUCCCAUAACUACGGGAUAACCCGUUGAAAGACGGCCUAAUACCGUAUGAUAUCGUUUGCUGACAUCAAAUAACGAUUAAAGGUUUAGCGGUUAUGGAUGGGGAUGCGUCUGAUUAGCUUGUUGGCGGGGUAACGGCCCACCAAGGCGACGAUCAGUAGGGGUUCUGAGAGGAAGGUCCCCCACAUUGGAACUGAGACACGGUCCAAACUCCUACGGGAGGCAGCAGUGAGGAAUAUUGGUCAAUGGGCGAGAGCCUGAACCAGCCAAGUAGCGUGCAGGAUGACGGCCCUAUGGGUUGUAAACUGCUUUUAUGUGGGGAUAAAGUGCGUGACGUGUCAUGCAUUGCAGGUACCACAUGAAUAAGGACCGGCUAAUUCCGUGCCAGCAGCCGCGGUAAUACGGAAGGUCCGGGCGUUAUCCGGAUUUAUUGGGUUUAAAGGGAGCGUAGGCUGUCUAUUAAGCGUGUUGUGAAAUAUACCGGCUCAACCGGUGGCUUGCAGCGCGAACUGGUCGACUUGAGUAUGCAGGAAGUAGGCGGAAUUCAUGGUGUAGCGGUGAAAUGCUUAGAUAUCAUGACGAACUCCGAUUGCGCAGGCAGCUUACUGUAGCAUAACUGACGCUGAUGCUCGAAAGUGCGGGUAUCAAACAGG
RNAcentral lists this ribosomal RNA (759 nucleotides) under uncultured Prevotella sp. RNAcentral describes it as "bacterial SSU rRNA". It matches the Rfam family "Bacterial small subunit ribosomal RNA", at positions 28 to 776 of the family's 1533-position model. Lineage: Bacteria; Pseudomonadati; Bacteroidota; Bacteroidia; Bacteroidales; Prevotellaceae. The record is from RNAcentral.